CCUACGGGUGGCAGCAGUGGGGAAUAUUGCACAAUGGGCGCAAGCCUGAUGCAGCCAUGCCGCGUGUGUGAAGAAGGCCUUCGGGUUGUAAAGCACUUUCAGCGGGGAGGAAGGCGUUAAGGUUAAUAACCUUGGCGAUUGACGUUACCCGCAGAAGAAGCACCGGCUAACUCCGUGCCAGCAGCCGCGGUAAUACGGAGGGUGCAAGCGUUAAUCGGAAUUACUGGGCGUAAAGCGCACGCAGGCGGUCUGUCAAGUCGGAUGUGAAAUCCCCGGGCUCAACCUGGGAACUGCAUUCGAAACUGGCAGGCUAGAGUCUUGUAGAGGGGGGUAGAAUUCCAGGUGUAGCGGCGAAAUGCGUAGAGAUCUGGAGGAAUACCGGUGGCGAAGGCGGCCCCCUGGACAAAGGCUGACGCUCAGGUGCGAAAGCGUGGGGAGCAAACAGGAUUAGAUACCCCUGUAGUC
Molecule: ribosomal RNA, 465 nt
Filed under: uncultured Klebsiella sp.
Lineage: Bacteria; Pseudomonadati; Pseudomonadota; Gammaproteobacteria; Enterobacterales; Enterobacteriaceae
Description: bacterial SSU rRNA
Rfam family: Bacterial small subunit ribosomal RNA
Source: RNAcentral